RNAcentral lists this ribosomal RNA (424 nucleotides) under uncultured bacterium. RNAcentral's name for it is "bacterial SSU rRNA". It matches the Rfam family "Bacterial small subunit ribosomal RNA", at positions 917 to 1344 of the family's 1533-position model. The record is from RNAcentral.
GGGCCCGCACAAGCGGUGGAGCAUGUGGUUUAAUUCGAUGAUACGCGAGGAACCUUACCAGGGCUUAAAUGUAGUCUGACAGGGGUGGAAACACCCCCUCCUUCGGGCAGAUUACAAGGUGCUGCAUGGUUGUCGUCAGCUCGUGCCGUGAGGUGUCAGGUUAAGUCCUAUAACGAGCGCAACCCCUGCCGUUAGUUGCCAGCAUGUAAUGAUGGGAACUCUAACGGGACUGCCGGUGCAAACCGCGAGGAAGGUGGGGAUGACGUCAAAUCAUCACGGCCCUUACGUCCUGGGCUACACACGUGCUACAAUGGCCGGUACAGAGGGCAGCCACACCGCAAGGUGGAGCGAAUCCUUAAAACCGGUCUCAGUUCGGAUCGGGGUCUGCAACUCGAGUGCAUGAAGUUGGAAUCGCUAGUAAUCG